CCUACGGGAGGCAGCAGUAGGGAAUCUUCCACAAUGGACGAAAGCCUGAUGGAGCAACGCCGCGUGAGUGAAGAAGGGUCUCGGCUCGUAAAGCUCCGUUGGUAGUGAAGAAAGAUAGAGGUAGUAACUGGCCUUUAUUUGACGGUAAUUACUUAGAAAGUCACGGCUAACUACGUGCCAGCAGCCGCGGUAAUACGUAGGUGGCAAGCGUUGUCCGGAUUGAUUGGGCGUAAAGCGAGUGCAGGCGGUUCAAUAAGUCUGAUGUGAAAGCCUUCGGCUCAACCGGAGAAUUGCAUCAGAAACUGUUGAACUUGAGUGCAGAAGGGGAGAGUGGAACUCCAUGUGUAGCGGUGGAAUGCGUAGAUAUAUGGAAGAACACCAGUGGCGAAGGCGGCUCUCUGGUCUGCAACUGACGCUGAGGCUCGAAAGCAUGGGUAGCGAACAGGAUUAGAUACCCUUGUAGUC
Molecule: ribosomal RNA, 465 nt
Filed under: uncultured bacterium
Lineage: Bacteria
Description: partial 16S ribosomal RNA
Rfam family: Bacterial small subunit ribosomal RNA
Source: RNAcentral